GACGAACGCUGGCGGCGUGCUUAACACAUGCGAGUCGAACGGCAAGGCCCUGCUUUUGUGGUGUGCUCGAGUGGCGAACGGGUGAGUAACACGUGAGUACCCUUCCCUUGACUUUGGGAUAACUUCAGGAAACUGGGGCUAAUCCCGGAUAGGAGCUCCUGCUGCAUGGUGGGGGUUGGAAAGUUUCGGCGGUUGGGGAUGGACUCGCGGCUUAUCCGCUUGUUGGUGGGGUAGUGGCUUACCAAGGCUUUGCCGGGUAGCCGGCCUGAGAGGGUGACCGGCGACAUUGGGACUGAGAUACGGCCCAGACGCCUACGGGAGGCAGCAGUGGGGAAUAUUGCACAAUGGGCGGAAGCCUGAUGCAGCAACGCCGCGGGCGGGAUGACGGCCUUCGGGUUGUAAACCGCUUUCGCCUGUGACGAAGCGUGAGUGACGGUAAUGGGUAAAGAAGCACCGGCUAACUACGUG
RNAcentral lists this ribosomal RNA (468 nucleotides) under uncultured bacterium. RNAcentral describes it as "partial 16S ribosomal RNA". It matches the Rfam family "Bacterial small subunit ribosomal RNA", at positions 28 to 507 of the family's 1533-position model. The record is from RNAcentral.